GGGGGGGGGAUAUACCGUGUACCUAUUACUUAAAUAAAACAACCAUCUUUCAAUAAAUGUUUUUUUAGCGCUGGUGAGCGUGUUGAAUGCUCCUUUCUGUCAAACGUACCUAUACAUAAAUCAAGUCAUCGAAACAAGAACACAAAAUUUACUAAAAGAUGAACAAACGAAACAAAAAAUUAAAAUAGAUGUUUCUACAAAGAAAAAAAAAAGAGGUAGUGUGGGAAAAAUCUCAAGCUGCGAAACAAAAUAUAUUACACAUCAAAAA
Molecule: long non-coding RNA, 268 nt
Filed under: Chelonus insularis
Lineage: Eukaryota; Metazoa; Arthropoda; Insecta; Hymenoptera; Braconidae
Description: uncharacterized LOC118073683
Source: RNAcentral